This 326-nucleotide ribosomal RNA is filed under the name uncultured eukaryote. Its description in RNAcentral is "partial 18S ribosomal RNA". It matches the Rfam family "Eukaryotic small subunit ribosomal RNA", at positions 1470 to 1796 of the family's 1831-position model. The record is from RNAcentral.
CCCUUAGAUGUUCUGGGCCGCACGCGCGCUACACUGAUGCAUUCAACGAGCCUAGCCUUGACCGAGAGGUCCGGGUAAUCUUUGAAACUGCAUCGUGAUGGGGCUAGAUUAUUGCAAUUAUUAAUCUUCAACGAGGAAUGCCUAGUAAGCGCAAGUCAUCAGCUUGCGUUGAUUACGUCCCUGCCCUUUGUACACACCGCCCGUCGCUCCUACCGAUUGAAUGGUCCGGUGAAGCGUUCGGACCGUGGCCUUUGGACGGUUCGCCGUCUGUUGGCUGCGGGAAGUUCGUUAAACCUUAUCAUUUAGAGGAAGGAGAAGUCGUAACA